AUGACCCGCAAGACCAACGACGCCCGAACGAGUGCUCCCGACCGAGACAGUUAUGCUGCUACGUUUUGGACACGCCAAAUCCCUCGAGGCAGAUGCGUCAAGACCGCCCCGGCUUUUGUAAAGUUCCACGACACCGGGAGUCCUCGAAUCCGUCAAGUUCCACUACGAGAUGUACAACCACCGUCGACCCCAAAGACCUCGGAUUCACCAAGUUCCCACGAUGACUUGAGUGUACCCCGUCGGAUCGCCAAGUUCGGUUACCGUCGCAACCAUGUACAACUACUUCCAUGA
This 291-nucleotide ribosomal RNA is filed under the name Triticum aestivum (bread wheat). Its description in RNAcentral is "partial small subunit ribosomal RNA". The record is from RNAcentral. Lineage: Eukaryota; Viridiplantae; Streptophyta; Magnoliopsida; Poales; Poaceae.